UACGGGGGGGGCAAGCGUUGUUCGGAAUUACUGGGCGUAAAGGGCUCGUAGGCGGCCAACUAAGUCAGACGUGAAAUCCCUCGGCUUAACCGGGGAACUGCGUCUGAUACUGGAUGGCUUGAGGUUGGGAGAGGGAUGCGGAAUUCCAGGUGUAGCGGUGAAAUGCGUAGAUAUCUGGAGGAACACCGGUGGCGAAGGCGACAUCCUGGACCAAAUCUGACGCUGAGGAGCGAAAGCCAGGGGAGCAAACGGG
Molecule: ribosomal RNA, 253 nt
Filed under: uncultured bacterium
Lineage: Bacteria
Description: partial 16S ribosomal RNA
Rfam family: Bacterial small subunit ribosomal RNA
Source: RNAcentral